AAGAAGGCCGGCUGCCAUACAUUCCGCCAUAG
This 32-nucleotide non-coding RNA is filed under the name Geobacter sulfurreducens PCA. Lineage: Bacteria; Pseudomonadati; Thermodesulfobacteriota; Desulfuromonadia; Geobacterales; Geobacteraceae. The record is from RNAcentral.